RNAcentral lists this ribosomal RNA (399 nucleotides) under Triticum aestivum (bread wheat). RNAcentral describes it as "partial small subunit ribosomal RNA". Lineage: Eukaryota; Viridiplantae; Streptophyta; Magnoliopsida; Poales; Poaceae. The record is from RNAcentral.
AUGUUGAUGGCCGCCAGGGUGAAGAUGAAGAAGGGCGCCAGGCACAGCAGGAUGAAAGUCGCCGCGUGCACGUACGCAUUGCCGAACCCCAGACGCCCGGCGUUCCACCCGAACACGCAGCAGCUGCAGAACAGCGACAGGUACGCCAGCGAGAUGUCCUCCCACAGGUCCCACACCAGCCCGCCCGACCACUCAGGCGCCGCCACUGCCACGGUGCCUUCUUCUUCUUCUCCCACCUCAACGACGACGGCACCGGCAGCGCCCAUUUCUAGUCCUUGUCGCUGCGGCGGAGAAGGGGAGAAGGAGUACCUCCUCUCGACGGUCUUGUGCUGGAGCCGCUGCCGCGAGCCCGAAGAAGAAGACUCCUGCUCCUCAGCGCGUACUGCGCCAAGCAGUUGA